RNAcentral lists this non-coding RNA (628 nucleotides) under Myotis lucifugus (little brown bat). RNAcentral describes it as "c-sis internal ribosome entry site (IRES)". It matches the Rfam family "c-sis internal ribosome entry site (IRES)". From Rfam's summary of the family: This family represents the c-sis 5'-UTR which contains three modules that can individually mediate internal ribosome entry. The record is from Rfam by way of RNAcentral. Lineage: Eukaryota; Metazoa; Chordata; Mammalia; Chiroptera; Vespertilionidae.
CGGAGCAGCCGCAGCUUGCAGCCCGUGGAGGACGCCCAGAGUGGCGAGCAGACUGACCGACAGACUCGCCCCACGUCCACCUGUCUGCUGCGGCCGGCCCAGAGCUCAGCGGGCACGCCGCGCGCGGAGCAGCCGUGCCCGCCGCCCCGGGCCGCCAGCCAGGGCGCGCACGCUCCGGCCCCCCCCACCCCCACCCCCACCCCCCAGGCGGCCCAGGAGGGAGUUUGCACCUCUCGCUGCCUGGGUACUCGGGCCGCCGCUGCAAAGCCAACUUUGGAAAAAGUUUUCGGGGGGGAGACUUUGGCGUUGAGGUGCCCGGCUCUAGCUUUCCGACUUCGGGACCCUUCCCAGAAAAUGUUGCAAAAAAGCUAAGCCAGCGGGCAGAGGAAGACGCCGUUAACCCGCAGCGAGAGAAGAGAGAAGACGAGCCAUCGACCGCCGCCUUCUUUUUCCUCUUGGAGGUUGGAGUCCCCUAGGCGCCCCCACACGGCUAGACACCUCGGCUGGUUCGCGACGCAGCCCCCCGGCCGUGGAUGCUCGCUCGGGCUCGGGAUCCGCCCAGGUAGUGGCCUCGGACCCUGGUCUCGCGCCCAGGCCCUCCCCAGUCCCCCAACAACGGAGCCGUGGG